GUCUUGUGCGGAACACUCAAAGGGGAGCCAUCUAUCCACCUCUGAUAACAGUUGCCUAUAGUGAUGUUCUCAUCCAGAAUCCCAAUGCUGAGAAUAUAAUGGUUUCCUUCUCAGUCGACUAUGAAAUGAAUCAAUCAGAGGCUCACAUUCACACUGAUAUAGCACUAGGUGUUCUGGGCGGCCUGGCAGUUCUAUGGUCCCUUCUCAAGACUGCUGGCUGGAAAAGACGUAUAGGAAGCCCCAUGAUUGAUUUACAGGUAUGAACCGUUAUC
Long non-coding RNA from Protobothrops mucrosquamatus (brown spotted pit viper), 272 nucleotides. RefSeq lists it as uncharacterized. The transcript has 3 exons. NCBI's taxonomy places the organism in Eukaryota, Metazoa, Chordata, Lepidosauria, Squamata, Viperidae. The record is from RefSeq and is a predicted model, not a curated record.